GGGGUGCGCUCACCGCCAGCACUCUUGGGCGUCGGAGCUUCUGUGCUUCCGGGCACUCCUGACCGUGGAGGGAAGUCGGCGUCGAGGCACCACAGAGGCGAGGGUCUCCCUCUCAUCAUCAACAUGGAGGCGGCGCACAAGGCCGUCAGCGGCCACCUCAUGGCCGGACGCCUCUUGUCCCCUUUCCAAGCAAAUCUGUGCGCCAUCAUCGAUGAGCUUUGGGCCACGGCAUGGAAGCACCAAGGAGUGGUCACUGUACAAGAGGUGGACUCCGAUGACGGAAGGUUUAUCCUCAACCUUGCCAACGAGGGUGACCGGCGGUUCAUGCUAAAGGCACAGCCGUGGCACUAUAAGCGGGACGGUGUUGUCUUUGCUGAGUUCGACGACAAGGGCGACCCAGCCGAGGUUGACCUUUGGAGUAAUGGCCAUUUGGGCCCAGGUACGCGACCUCCCUUUUGA
RNAcentral lists this ribosomal RNA (459 nucleotides) under Triticum aestivum (bread wheat). RNAcentral describes it as "partial small subunit ribosomal RNA". Lineage: Eukaryota; Viridiplantae; Streptophyta; Magnoliopsida; Poales; Poaceae. The record is from RNAcentral.